Pelobates cultripes (western spadefoot toad) is the source of this 116-nucleotide non-coding RNA. The record is from the annotation of a GenBank genome assembly. NCBI's taxonomy places the organism in Eukaryota, Metazoa, Chordata, Amphibia, Anura, Pelobatidae.
GAUGGAAGCUGGAAUUGUGGAGGUAGCUGUACCUGUCUGUGGGUUUUCUGUACACAGUCUUCAUUAAUCUGCGUACAGAAAACCCACAGACAGGUACAGCUACCUCCACAAUUCCA